This 839-nucleotide ribosomal RNA is filed under the name uncultured bacterium. Its description in RNAcentral is "bacterial SSU rRNA". It matches the Rfam family "Bacterial small subunit ribosomal RNA", at positions 57 to 869 of the family's 1533-position model. The record is from RNAcentral.
GCAGUCGAACGAGAAAGUUCCCUUCGGGGAAUGAGUACAGUGGCGAACGGGUGAGUAACGCGUGGGAAACCUGCCCUUCAAUGGGGGAUAACAGUUCUAACGAGCUGCUAAUACCGCAUACGACCGUUGAUCCGCAUGGUUUGACGGAGAAAGGUGGCCUCUCUUUGAAGCUGCCGUUGAAGGAUGGUCCCGCGUCCCAUUAGCUUGUUGGUGGGGUAACGGCCUACCAAGGCGACGAUGGGUAGCCGGCCUGAGAGGGUGUCCGGCCACACUGGGACUGAGAUACGGCCCAGACUCCUACGGGAGGCAGCAGUCGAGAAGCUUCGGCAAUGGGCGAAAGCCUGACCGAGCGAUGCCGCGUGAGCGAAGAAGGCCCUAUGGGUUGUAAAGCUCUGUCAGAUUGGGAAGAAAGCUCCGGGGUUAAUACCCUCGGAGUGUGACGGUACCAUCAGAGGAAGCACCGGCUAACUCCGUGCCAGCAGCCGCGGUAAUACGGAGGGUGCAAGCGUUGUUCGGAUUCACUGGGUAUAAAGGGUGCGCAGGCGGCCGUGUAAGUCAGAGGUGAAAUAUGACGGCUCAACCGUCAAACUGCCUCUGAGACUGCUCGGCUUGAGUCCGGGAGAGGAAGGUGGAAUUCCUGGUGUAGCGGUGAAAUGCGUAAAUAUCAGGAGGAACACCGGUGGCGAAGGCGGCCUUCUGGCCCGGUACUGACGCUCAUGCACGAAAGCCAGGGGAGCGAACGGGAUUAGAUACCCCGGUAGUCCUGGCCGUAAACGAUGGGCACUAGGUGUUGGAAGGAGUCUACCCCUUCAGUGCCGCAGCUAAUGCAUUAAGUGCCC